AAUAACAUGGAGUGGGUGCAGUCCAACAAAAGAAGGGGUUCAGAAUGGAAACAAAGAUGGAGAGAAAAGAACAUGGCCUCUGCUUCUGCGCCUCCAUUCCACUUGCUCAUGAUAUUUGGCAUUGUGGUUAGUUUGUUGUGUCUUUCACAGUACAACCACUUCAAGGCUCAGCUCUAUAACACAGCUACCAACUUUCAGUUUUUCAUCUUCUUCUUACCCUUCUUGCUUAUGUUCUUCAUUGUUUCAUCAUAUUCUACUAGUGGAAGGUUCAGCUUUCACACGUUUGGAGCAUGA
Vicia faba (fava bean) is the source of this 294-nucleotide non-coding RNA. NCBI's taxonomy places the organism in Eukaryota, Viridiplantae, Streptophyta, Magnoliopsida, Fabales, Fabaceae. The record is from the annotation of a GenBank genome assembly.